This 357-nucleotide ribosomal RNA is filed under the name Lathonura rectirostris. RNAcentral's name for it is "eukaryotic LSU rRNA". It matches the Rfam family "Eukaryotic large subunit ribosomal RNA", at positions 666 to 964 of the family's 3401-position model. The record is from RNAcentral. Lineage: Eukaryota; Metazoa; Arthropoda; Branchiopoda; Diplostraca; Macrotrichidae.
CCAAGGAGUCUAACAUGUGCGCGAGUCGUCGAGUCUAAUACUAAACUCGUACGAGGCGGAAUGAAAGUAAAGCGGCCCCGACGAGGGUGUUGCAGAGGAGAUCCCGUCUCGAAAUUUCAAAAAACAGAGCGGGCGCAUCCUCAGGGCGUCCGAAGCCGCGAACCUUUAUUGAGUCGGCCGGACGAACCCGGAGCGUACACGUUGGGACCCGAAAGAUGGUGACCUAUGCCUGGCCAGGUCGAAGCCAGGGGAAACCCUGGUGGAGGACCGCAGCGAUUCUGACGUGCAAAUCGAUCGUCGGAGUUGGGUAUAGGGGCGAAAGACUAAUCGAACCAUCUAGUAGCUGGUUCCCCCCGA